AUGUUUGGCAAGCGAGAGGAAAAGGAAGGAGUAACUAAGAUCGAUAGGAAUAGAAGGCAUCAGGAAAACACAAAGCAAAUCUCUACCUUGGCUCUGACACAGGAGGAGAAAGUGGCCUCUAGGCUUUCCUCCAUGAUCCUAUUCCCACUGCUCUUAGAUAUUCUCUCUUCCUCUUCCUCUCUCACUAUCUAG
Molecule: microRNA precursor, 192 nt
Filed under: Triticum aestivum (bread wheat)
Lineage: Eukaryota; Viridiplantae; Streptophyta; Magnoliopsida; Poales; Poaceae
Description: partial small subunit ribosomal RNA
Source: RNAcentral